UACAACCAAUCACAGACGAUGAUUUUGUACAGUUGCCUGGUGACGCGACAUGCAAAUUAGUUGAUUACGUUAUCUAGCGACUUCUAGCGAAUUUUGGGAGAGCUAACCAUAGACAUAUAUACAUCAUUACUGUGACUCACAACUUUGCCAUGUCAGACAAGAUUCACUUUCCUCCUCUCCAAAUGCUUAAUUUCCUUUUCUGAGCUUUUGAGCGGACACUUUUAUUUGUACAUUUGCUAUCUGUAUGGCUGUACAUUGGAUACUGUCAUGUAAGUCGAUGAGAGCAGGAAAAGGAGGUGACUAACUACCUCAUUUCAGAUUGACCAAAUGAAGACUCCUGCUGCAUUCUUAUGUGCUCAGUGCAACUUCUACAGAUUUGGGCCCACUAUGGGUUUUUACAAAGCGACGCAUUAUUACAGUUUUUUUUUCUGAAUGCUUAAACACUAAAUGUCUAAAUCCAUUAACACUUGUAGCCAAUGCAUUUACCACGUGUGCCAACACACUUCUAUUAAAACUGUAAACACCUUUACAUAAUGCCUAGCUCAUGACAACAUUGUAUGUUAUGUGGAUGAAGUCUUCUUUGUUUCUGACACAGGUGGGUAAUGGGCCUAAAAAAAGAAUGACACUCUCCCCCUUAUUCUGAAGAACCUAAGCAUUAUUUCUAUAUGCAAAGUAGCCUUUAUUUGACACUGUAAGUUGACAGUAAACAUGGAAGCACAGGUUAAACUUUAUUCAGUUCUCUAAGUGUACUACUAAGUGGUUCUUCUGCUCAGCAUUCAUGGCUAAAUUGGUGGCACUUCUACUGCCUUUAUAUCCUUAAUCUUGCACCCUAUAACUUUCCUUGUGCUUCAAAAAAGCAAAAAAACUAAAAAACAUAAUGAUAGGAAUACAAAAUAAAAAACAACUGGUCAAACUAGAGAACAGAGAGUGCAGUUUUACUUUGGUAACAAUAGUGUGAAAGUUCAGCCUGGUGUUGUCUGUGUCAGUGUAGUGUGUCCUCAGAGAUAGUAGGGAGACCUGGUGCUGUGUGUGUCAGUGGUGCUGUCUGUGUCAGUGUAGUGUGUCCUCAGAGAUAGUAGGGAGACAGCCACUGUUCAAAGCACAAAGAACACAAAUAUGCCUCGAAGAAUGCACCGACUUUCUGCAGACUUUAUUGCAAUGUACCACCUGAUCUAUCUAAACAUCCGAAAAGUAGUUUCAGUAUCCCAAAUGAUCUCUCGAUGACAGCUCAAGCCUUUAUGAGAUUUCUUAUGUAUAUUAUAUAUUUAUAAAAAUAAAAAAAGUCAAGGGUGAACUGAUCAACAUAGGCUCAUGUCGCGGACCCCCUGCAAUGCCUUAGCGGACCACCAGAGGGCUGCGGACCCCCGGUUGAAAACUCCUGGUAUAGACCAACAAAAGAUGCAAUGGAUAUACUGGAAAAAAAGAUUUAUUAACAUAUAAGACAAUUGCCAGAAGUCUGCCAAUCAUUUCUAUUCUCAAAUGUAUAAUUUAAAUCAUAUCAGAUGCCUGAGUAAAAGAUUUGGAUAGCAAUACACAUCAAAACACAUCAAAACAGAGGAAGGGGAUAACUGAUGAAUGAUUGUGACGCUUCUGUAUCAAAACCUACAGAUCUUUACAUGAUUCCUGCAUUGGAGCUCUCACAUAAUGUGUUCCACCUAUGCAUAUUUUAACUAUGAUAGCACAGACUUUAAAUGAAGACAAAAUAUAGGGCAUGAUGGAGCUGCCUGGCAACGACACCACAGAACACCUUCUUAAUGGCAUAAUGGCAGUAUUUGUGUGAGGAUAGGUGCCUUUGGCAUACAAAAAUAGAGCAUCAUAUUAAACAACAACAGCAAAGGGGCACCUUUUUCCAGUAUAAACUGAUCAUCUAACUUGAAUCCUACUGUAGGUAUCAUUGAGGCACUUUCAUGUAGUCUACCUAAACUACACAGAUCUGUUGUCUACUGUGAGUAACCCAUUAAAAUAUCUUCCCAUGCCUCAGACAAGACUUUCUGACCAAAAGUAAUAGUAAUUUAAAAAUUAAAAAAUUUCACUAAAAGUCACCUUCUCUCCAUCUGAUAUAUUCUGGAGGGAGCCGCUGCUGGCCCAGGUGUGGAGACCAGACUAACGGCCCAGGUGUGGAGACCAGACUAACGGCCCAGGUGUGGAGACCAGACUAACGGCCCAGGUGUGGACACCAGACUAACGGCCAAAGGUUCAAUGUAUGACUGUCUUAUCCGGUGCCCAGGUGAAACUGCUUAGAUGGUUGAAACUAUCUCUUGACCAAUCUGACUCCAGUUAUUUAUUCACCACCGCUGAUACAGUCUUGGCUAUUACCGGAGUGAUAGUUAAUAAUGUUAUGUCGCUCUGAGAAUUUACUACUCAUUCAACAAGGAUUUACUGUAUCUGAAUCAGAAUUGUUUUUAGAAAGUAAUUUUAUACCUACCAGGAAUUUGUUUUGGCAUAUUGGUGCAGACAAUAACCCCCCCAUGAUUACACAAUGAUUAAGCUAAGGCAGGAAUAAAAGCAUGAAGAUGUAAUACUUCUUGCAAUAAUACACAACCAAAACAAAUAGAUUCUUAAAUUACACGACAAAUGGAAAUUUGCAUAGAUAACCUAUAUACACAUCUAACGGUGCAAACCCAUGACACCGUUACGAGCAACGCGAUAUUCUAAUCCCAUGCAUUUCAACGGGAGCCAAUCCAUUGUGACGUAGACCACCGUUUUAGGCGACAUGACCGAUAAAAGUUGGAACAUUUUUAAUCCUAUGCAAAUGAGGAGCGAUUUUUCCCGGCAGCGGCCAAUCAGAUUGUUUGGUGUCGUCUCUGACAGUUUGAAAAUGCUAUUUCCACACGCUACAACACGCCCACUCAAAGCGAUGGAAGCGUAUCGCGUCGCUGUCAUUGGUUUGCACCGUAAGGACUUUUGAACUUUAGGGGGUAUCUCCUUAUCAAAGUGGCAUGGGGUAGGAUAUUUCAUUUUUUGACCCCAGGUGGGAGUGUCACCUUAUUGUUCUACAACUGCGCCCCUUAUAGGCCUACUCCUCACACAGGCCAUUAAAAUGAUAUCAACCCCCAAUGUGCUGACGCCCUCUACUCACUAAAUAGAUUUCACCCCUAACAUGUGGCCAGGUGUGACCCCAGAAUGACCUGUGCCCAGGAGAAGGGAGAGGGGCAUGACCCCAGAAUGACCUGUGCCCAGGAGAAGGAAGAGGGGCAAAGACACCUCAGAGGUACAUCAGAAUAUAAAAAGGACAAUCCACAGGCAACACCAGAUGUUUCUCCUAAAACAUAAACAUGCUGUUCCACACACAAUUCACAGUCUUCACAUUUGGAAUUCAUGGUGUAACUCAACCUUAGGAUAUCGAUACUCAACUCAUCAUAGUCCUGACAUUCUGUACAUAAUGAGCAAAAAAACGUGCAAAGUAUGUAAAAAACUAAAUAUCUCUUCUCAUAAAAGACAAAAAGAGGACAUUCACUUGGACAACUGCUGUCUCACUCACACACCAUACUUGCAAUACUAAAACUUUUACAAAUAUGUUUUUUGUUGUUAAUGUUAUUAUUAUUAUGCUAUCGUUAUAAAUCAAUUAUGAAGUUAUUGAAUGAAAUGUGGACUCUGGACUAUCUGAAUUUACAUGGUGGCCAUUGACAGAAAGAAGCAUAAGGAACCUCUACUGUUCAAUAAGAGUCUCUCAUAUUAUAGAGAGCAUACACGUCCACAGAGGUCAUACUGCUUCUCAAAAUGGCUUUGUCAGGUUCCUCCUCUUCAGCUCAUUCCUGCUCAGAGGCGCUCAUCCAGAGAAAUGGGCUCUGCAACAAGAAGUGAAGCCAUAACAAACUUUAAGAAACAAUGUUUUUUCUUCAUGGUCAUUAUAUCCUAAAUACAAUUCACCAAAGAUGAACUGGCACAUAGAAGUUGAAUCACUUAAUACGACAUUUGAAAUAUCAUUACCACUCUCUUGGGAGACGGAUUACUUGCUCUGUCCAUUGUUUGGUACAGUGUUUUCAAAUAUGUACUGACAUUUCUUUUCUGCAGCUCAGGGUGUCUUUUUCAGUUGAAAAAAGUUAAUCUUCUCAGAAAAAUACACUCUAUGUCAAGCUCCAAAAAAGGAGAAGGUAGCAGUGGAGACACGUAUGAUGUUCGACUCAGAGCACAGUGAACUAUAUGACAUGACGAAUAAACUAUAUCACCAAUAUUCAUUUGUGGAGUAAAAAUCGACAGGAAUGACAGUGCUGAUGUAAAGACAAAUGACUGGAUAGCCUACUAACUGGCUAGCUUGCUUACUAGCUCGCUAGUCCAGUUUGUUACACUACUUCCACACGCCACAACACGCACACUCAAAGCGAAUCAAGCAUUUCACUUUGCUGGCCUGUUUCAGUACCACUAGCGUUCCAGCUCUAGUGCCUAAAACAUCUGAUUUAUUUUAUUCGCCAUAUUGUGGCUAUCAAAACCUUUGGUAAUAAAGUAGACGUCUUUACAUAAGCUGACGUUGUGGUUGUUGUGAGAACACUUGUAGUCCCUAAUUGGUGAAGCUAGCUAUGGUUUAGUAUAACACCUGUUAGUUUUAUUUUGUUUCAUUGAACAAUAUUCCAUAUUCAUCUUUCUCCCUCUCUUUCCCACAGCUGUUCACAAUUUUUUGUCUUCAGCAUGUCAGGUAAGGAAACAACAUGAAUUUUGCAACACUUUAGUCUGUUUUAUAAUCAAUGUCCAUGUUAAGAUAUUUAUCCCAUGUGAGUAAAAUGUCUAUUUUCUACUCCUGCAGCCACCCACACGGUUCCUCAUGUCGUCUGUUGCCUCACUAGUUGAACAGUGGAACUGCAUCAAGUAGGCUUUUACAAACAGUGGAACUGCAUCAAGUAGGCUUUUACAAACAGUGCAACAACUAGUGGAGCUCCAGUGGGUGCUGUGGGUGCUGUACACCUAUGGCCACAUCCCACAGAUAGCAAAUACAUUCUGAAAUCAGCACUGUAAGCUAGUAUAAUCACUUUGAAAGAUGUGUUCAACACAUGUCUGUACCACAGUUUCUGGUGUUUCUUAAUGAAAACCUUUAUAACAUUUUCGAUAGUCCCCUCCAACCUGCCCCAACACACACACUCAUGGCUUUCCGCAGAGGGAGAGAAACACUGCACUUUGUUCUUCAAACCUGUAAACAAACAAUGAAAGCUCGAGUUUCGAGCUUCGGUCACAAAACGUACAGAAAUCACCGCACAGGUUUAAGCCUUUCUUUCAGCCAAUGACAAUCCCAAAUCUGUCAGCCCUCUACACAAUAUAUCUCAAAACUCCUGUGAGCAGCGCACAGGCAGAACGUCUCUUAAGUCGCCUCAAACCAUUGGAUAUGAUAUUAAGUCUCUUAAGUCGCCUAAACCAUUGGAUAUGUUUUGCAUGCCACCAAGAGCGAGGAGCGCCUUGCAACUAUGCCUACAGCAUGGUCACUUUGAUGGAUUCUUAAAAAGACUUAAACAGACUUAGCUGUAACUAGCUUGCUAUGCACACUUCGUCACAGACAACCACAUACUACAGAUCUUAAUGAUAAUGAAAUAUCUUGCCUUUAUAUAAUCAAGUAAAGAGAUAUUAUCUGAUUUCAAACAGAUAGACACACGCCGAAGAUGCUGCAUAUAGUAUGUCUUCACUGCAACUUACUAAUUGGGAGUAAACAGACAGUAUAGGAGGCAUCAUGAAGCUUUUUUCACCUCUAGAAACUCACUCUGGUGGUGUAGAAACUGAAUGAUAAAGAAAUUAUAGACCCACUGUGAGUCUAGUAGCAGAGCUAAGAGCACUCUCUUUCUCUCAUUUUUAUCAAAGCUGCUUAAAAUUAUCACAGAAUGUCAGAAUCAACGGGUGAAGUAAAACCUUACAUUGGCUAUUCAUUAAGCUACUUAAUUAAGAUACUUAAUGUAUGGGCUGCUAUCGGUAGAAUAGAACGUUACUAGAAUAGCAGCCCAUCUCCAUUAAUAUGGUCAGCUAACCAGAAGGUAUAGUACAGAAAUGACUUGUGUAAUUUACAGUAAGACGAGCCAUGU
Molecule: long non-coding RNA, 5999 nt
Organism: Clupea harengus (Atlantic herring)
Lineage: Eukaryota; Metazoa; Chordata; Actinopteri; Clupeiformes; Clupeidae
Source: Ensembl